AUGGCUCAGAUUGAACGCUGGCGGCAUGCCUUACACGAUGCAAGUCGAACGGUAACGCGGGGCAACCUGGCGACGAGUGGCGAACGGGUGAGUAAUAUAUCGGAACGUGCCCAGUAGUGGGGAUAGCCCGGCGAAAGCCGGAUUAAUACCGGCAUACGACCUAUGGGGUGAAAGCGGGGGAUCGCAAGACCUCGCGCUAUUGGAGCGGCCGAUAUCAGAUUAGCUAGUUGGUGGGGUAAAGGCCUACCAAGGCGACGAUCUGUAGCUGGUCUGACGAGGACGACCAGCCACACUGGGACUGAGACACGGCCCAGACUCCUACGGGAGGCAGCAGUGGGGAAUUUUGGACAAUGGGCGAAAAGCCCUGAUCCAGCCAUGCCGCGUGAGUGAAGAAGGCCUUCGGGUUGUAAAGCUCUUUCGGCUGGGAAGAAAUCGCACAGGCUAAUACUCUGUGUGGAUGACGGUACCAGCACAAGAAGCACCGGCUAACUACGUG
This 496-nucleotide ribosomal RNA is filed under the name uncultured bacterium. RNAcentral describes it as "bacterial SSU rRNA". It matches the Rfam family "Bacterial small subunit ribosomal RNA", at positions 19 to 507 of the family's 1533-position model. The record is from RNAcentral.